This 253-nucleotide ribosomal RNA is filed under the name uncultured bacterium. RNAcentral's name for it is "partial 16S ribosomal RNA". The stretch from base 27 to 253 matches the Rfam family "Bacterial small subunit ribosomal RNA", at positions 550 to 776 of the family's 1533-position model. The record is from RNAcentral.
UACCAGCACCCCGAGUGGUCGGGACGUUUAUUGGGCGUAAAGCGCUUGUAGGCGGCUUGUUAAGUUCCGUGUGAAAUCCCCAGGCUUAACCUGGGAAGUGCGCGGAAAACUGGCGAGCUUGAGUGCCGGAGAGGGUCGCGGAAUUCCCGGUGUAGAGGUGAAAUUCGUAGAUAUCGGGAGGAACACCAGUGGCGAAGGCGGCGACCUGGACGGACACUGACGCUGAGACGCGAAAGCGUGGGGAGCAAACAGG